AUGAACGCUGGCUACCGGCUUAACACCUGCCAGUCGAGGGGAAACGGCAUUGAGUGCUUGCACUGAAUGGACGUCGACCGGCGCACGGGUGAGUAACGCGUAUCCAACCUUCCCGUUACUGCGGGAUAACCUGCCGAAAGGCAGACUAAUACCACAUGUUCUUCGAUGACGGCAUCAGAUUCGAAGCAAAGAUCCGCCGGGAACGGAGGGGGAUGCGUCUGGUUAGCGAGUUGGUGGGGUGACGGCCCACCAAGGCGUCGAUCAGUAGGGGUUCUGAGAGGACGGGCCCCCACAGUGGAACUGAGACACGGGCCAAACGCCUACGGGAGGCAGCAGUGAGGAAUAUUGGUCGAGGGGCGGAAGCCUGAACCAGCCAAGUAGCGGGCAGGAUGACGGCCCUACGGGUUGUAAACUGCUUUUAUGCGGGGAUAAAGUGAGGGACGCGGCCCUUUUGGCAGGAACCGCAGGAAGAAGGACCGGCUAAUUCCGU
This 490-nucleotide ribosomal RNA is filed under the name uncultured bacterium. Its description in RNAcentral is "partial 16S ribosomal RNA". It matches the Rfam family "Bacterial small subunit ribosomal RNA", at positions 29 to 506 of the family's 1533-position model. The record is from RNAcentral.